UGCUUAACACAUGCAAGUCGAACGGAAAGGCCCUGCUUUUGUGGGGUGCUCGAGUGGCGAACGGGUGAGUAACACGUGAGUAACCUGCCCUUGACUUUGGGAUAACUUCAGGAAACUGGAGCUAAUACCGGAUAGGAGCUCCUGCUGCAUGGUGGGGGUUGGAAAGUUUCGGCGGUUGGGGAUGGACUCGCGGCUUAUCAGCUUGUUGGUGGGGUAGUGGCUUACCAAGGCUUUGACGGGUAGCCGGCCUGAGAGGGUGACCGGCCACAUUGGGACUGAGAUACGGCCCAGACUCCUACGGGAGGCAGCAGUGGGGAAUAUUGCACAAUGGGCGGAAGCCUGAUGCAGCAACGCCGCGUGCGGGAUGACGGCCUUCGGGUUGUAAACCGCUUUCGCCUGUGACGAAGCGUGAGUGACGGUAAUGGGUAAAGAAGCACCGGCUAACUACGUGCCAGCAGCCGCGGUGAUACGUAGGGUGCGAGCGUUGUCCGGAUUUAUUGGGCGUAAAGGGCUCGUAGGUGGUUGAUCGCGUCGGAAGUGUAAUCUUGGGGCUUAACCCUGAGCGUGCUUUCGAUACGGGUUGACUUGAGGAAGGUAGGGGAGAAUGGAAUUCCUGGUGGAGCGGUGGAAUGCGCAGAUAUCAGGAGGAACACCAGUGGCGAAGGGCGGUUCUCUGGGCCUUUCCUGACGCUGAGGAGCGAAAGCGUGGGGAGCGAACAGGCUUAGAUACCCUGGUAGUCCACGCUGUAAACGGUGGGUACUAGGUGUGGGGUCCAUUCCACGGGUUCCGUGCCGUAGCUAACGCUUUAAGUACCCCGCCUGGGGAGUACGGCCGCAAGGCUAAAACUCAAAGGAAUUGACGGGGCCCCGCACAAGCGGCGGAGCAUGCGGAUUAAUUCGAUGCAACGCGUAGAACCUUACCUGGGUUUGACAUGGAUCGGGAGUGCUCAGAGAUGGGUGUGCCUCUUUUGGGGUCGGUUCACAGGUGGUGCAUGCCUGUCGUCAGCUCGUGUCGUGAGAUGUUGGGUUAAGUCCCGCAACGAGCGCAACCCUUGUUCACUGUUGCCAGCACGUUAUGGUGGGGACUCAGUGGAGACCGCCGGGGUCAACUCGGAGGAAGGUGGGGAUGACGUCAAGUCCUCAUGCCCCUUAUGUCCAGGGCUUCACGCAUGCUACAAUGGCUGGUACAGAGAGUGGCGAGCCUGUGAGGGUGAGCGAAUCUCGGAAAGCCGGUCUCAGUUCGGAUUGGGGUCUGCAACUCGACCUCAUGAAGUCGGAGUCGCUAGUAAUCGCAGAUCAGCAACGCUGCGGUGAAUACGUUCCCGGGGCUUGUACACACCGCCCGUCAAGUCAUGAAAGUUGGUAACACCCGAAGCCGGUGGCCUAACCGUUGUGGGGGAGCCGUCGAAGGUGGGACUGGUGAUUAGGACUAAGUCG
RNAcentral lists this ribosomal RNA (1437 nucleotides) under uncultured organism. RNAcentral's name for it is "16S ribosomal RNA". It matches the Rfam family "Bacterial small subunit ribosomal RNA". The record is from RNAcentral.